UUUUUUUAGCUUUUUGUUCACUAUGAUGUGCUAUUAAGAUUCUAGUGGUGUGUAGACUGGUGUGUCUUCCCCAAUGAGCUUCACAAGCUACUAAUUCCUCUUUAUGUUGUCUAUAUGCGAAUGAUUAUUUUAAAUCAUAACUAGCUUAUCAAAACUGUCCAAAUUCAGUUGUUCUAGUGAGACUAGGUGUCAUCUAGACCUUAAUAAUUGCUGGAGAUGUUCUCUGAAUAUUGUUGAGUUCCAGUAGUUUUCCAAAUCUGUAGCAAAUCUCUUUUCACUGUGCUAUUUAGGACAAAAUAGCAAAUUAGUGUGAUCUUGUAAGAUGGUUACCUUUGUUUGAAGUGAUGAUUUCUUCUGAGAACUGCUGGACUAAUAGUUUAAGACAAUUGACCUUUCCUUUAAUUUAAAAUGCUGGUCCUAGAACUGGUUAGGAAUUUCAUGAAUAUUGUUGUGAUUUCCUUUUUCUUUAGUCAGCUGAUAUUACUGCUUGUUCUAGUUGGAAUGACUAUAUGCUUCUAAAAGAAAGAUUGAGGGAACAUCUUUUAUUGACACUUAACAUCUCCUAUUACAUGUAUAUUUUCUGAAACUGAAUGUGGAUCUUAAAUGAUAAACUAAGGCAAGCUUAGGGAUUGGUUUAACCUCCUCCAAUAACCUACCAUGCCGAGGUUCUAGAAACCUUUGGAUCUUGUGUGGCAUUGGAAUAUGGAUGGUGGUAACCCCCUUUUUAUAUCUUGUCUUUUAAAGUGCUGGUUUAGCCUGAUGAUUCAUGAUCAGUUUUAAGUUUACUUUUUUUUUUUCUUUCUUUAAAAUGCUGAGUUUGUUUGAUUGAACUUAGCUCUACUCAUCUCUUUAGUUAUUAGCCUCAUGUAUGAUUCAAAUUUGUGAAAUAAAGUUAUGUUUGACUCUGUUGCUUUCUGAGGAGUUUGUUGUUGUUGUGUUAAAACCCCCCAUUUGUUGUCCAUUCUCCAUCCUAAAAAGGGAAACUAGUAAAGCUCAUGUUUCCAUUUAUCUAUCUCUAAACAUGUCUAGAAGCAGGUUGUUCACUUUAUUAUGUAUGAUUUUCCAGAGUAAUAGCAAAGAUAGAAAUGUUUUGAUUAAGACUAGGUUUGAUCCCUCACAUGUGUUAAGAAUCUCAAAACUCCUCAAGACACCAGUUGUAAACUCUAUUUCCCUUUUGGAAUCUGUUCUUUGUAGUUCAAAUCAAUGAUCCUUGAGUGUAAUUUCAACUUUGUUCUCUUAAGUUCUAUUUUGUCAUUGGAAGUAAGUUCAAGUCAUCACCCUGGUAAAGCUUCAAUGUUCAAGUUUGGAAAGAACAUGUUCUUAUUAGCAGAAUCACUUUUGGGCUUAAAAAAUUUUGGUUAGCUAGUCUUCUUUGACUAAUCUAUUUCUUCCUAUAUUUGUGAAGUGCUUCAGAUUGUCAAUGUUGUUUCAAGUUUGUUGUUCUACACUUUGAGCUUAAUAUUGUGUGAUACAAUCUGUUCCUACUUGAAGAGUUCCAGUUAUUUUGUCUCCCUCUAUUUGACUACACAUGUUGUUGUACAGGGAAGAUGAAGAUAGUUUACAGGGUAGUUUGAAAGAAUAGAUCAUUGUUGAUAUAUGCUUGUGUUCAUAUUUAGAAAUAUAACAGGUUCACUAUCAGAACCCUCUGUUUGCAUUAGUAUAGCUAAGCCUAGAGUAAGAAGUCACUGUUUGGGCAUACAAACCUUAGAAAGCUGUUCAUAUAAAACUAAAAUGGCUAAGUACAUUUGCUUUGGCUCAUGAAUUGUAGUAUGUGCUUACUUGGCCGUUCUUCAUUAAUAGUCCUGAAUGAAAUUUUUAAGAUCCAUCAAUAAGCUCUUAUUUUAAAGCUAAAUGAGUAUUAUACAAUCUGUCUUGGGAUUCUUUUUUUGGUUUUAGGCUCAUCCACUUUUGAAACCUUAGCCUCAGUCUUUGUUUGUUACAUUAAUCCUUCAGCAUGUCAAAAUAUAGUAUGUUGUCUUGUUAAUAGCCUGCUAGGCCUGUAUUUUCUUGAUACUUAUUCUUCAUUCUCUCUUUUCUUUGCAUAACUUGGGGGACUUCUCCCAAAUCCCAAUUGUCCAUGAGAUGCUGCCAAAGUUGAGUUUCUGCUGUACUUCUGCUGCACAUUUGGCUGAAAACACUAUGCCAACUACUGUGCUUAACUUUUGUGCCUUUGAUGAGGACAAACACUACAUCAUGAGCUGCUAUAAUUUGGGGCAAAGUUGUCCAUUGCCUUUGAGGUAAACUGCUGCUAUUUAUCAUUGCUGCACUUGCUGUGCUACCUAGUUUGUAUUAUCUUGCCAUUUGCUGCACUUGCAAAAUCCUCAAGUGUUGUGCUUUGACACUUGAACUACUAUACACAAUUAAUGCUACACAUUCUGAUACCCUUGCUACUUUAUGAGACUGUUGUGCUGAGCUGCUUAAUUUGGUUCUUGUCACCUGCUGUGCUUCUUUCACUUUGAGUUUGAGAACAUGUUGUUCCUUGAGUUUGGUUUGCUACAGUUGAUCCAUCUUAAACAACUACUGUUGUUGGGCAUGUGUUAUACUGCUUUUGGGAAGCUGCUAUAUUUGAAUGGAAAAAGAAAAAUAAAUUGCUGCCAUACUUUUAGGCAAAAUAAGCUGCUGCUAUACUUCUUUUUUGCAAGCUGUUGCCCCUUAUUCAUAAAGAACAGAUGCCAUAUUUGAUGAAAGUAAACCAGCAGCUGCUGCUAUGUUCUUAAAAAGGAA
Long non-coding RNA from Lycium ferocissimum, 2724 nucleotides. RefSeq lists it as uncharacterized. NCBI's taxonomy places the organism in Eukaryota, Viridiplantae, Streptophyta, Magnoliopsida, Solanales, Solanaceae. The record is from RefSeq and is a predicted model, not a curated record. The transcript is spliced from 2 exons.